RNAcentral lists this ribosomal RNA (887 nucleotides) under Bacillus stratosphericus. Its description in RNAcentral is "bacterial SSU rRNA". The record is from RNAcentral. Lineage: Bacteria; Bacillati; Bacillota; Bacilli; Caryophanales; Bacillaceae.
UAUAGAGUUUUKWWUYWGCUCAGGACGAACGCUGGCGGCGUGCCUAAUACAUGCAAGUCGAGCGGACAGAAGGGAGCUUGCUCCCGGAUGUUAGCGGCGGACGGGUGAGUAACACGUGGGUAACCUGCCUGUAAGACUGGGAUAACUCCGGGAAACCGGAGCUAAUACCGGAUAGUUCCUUGAACCGCAUGGUUCAAGGAUGAAAGACGGUUUCGGCUGUCACUUACAGAUGGACCCGCGGCGCAUUAGCUAGUUGGUGAGGUAACGGCUCACCAAGGCGACGAUGCGUAGCCGACCUGAGAGGGUGAUCGGCCACACUGGGACUGAGACACGGCCCAGACUCCUACGGGAGGCAGCAGUAGGGAAUCUUCCGCAAUGGACGAAAGUCUGACGGAGCAACGCCGCGUGAGUGAUGAAGGUUUUCGGAUCGUAAAGCUCUGUUGUUAGGGAAGAACAAGUGCAAGAGUAACUGCUUGCACCUUGACGGUACCUAACCAGAAAGCCACGGCUAACUACGUGCCAGCAGCCGCGGUAAUACGUAGGUGGCAAGCGUUGUCCGGAAUUAUUGGGCGUAAAGGGCUCGCAGGCGGUUUCUUAAGUCUGAUGUGAAAGCCCCCGGCUCAACCGGGGAGGGUCAUUGGAAACUGGGAAACUUGAGUGCAGAAGAGGAGAGUGGAAUUCCACGUGUAGCGGUGAAAUGCGUAGAGAUGUGGAGGAACACCAGUGGCGAAGGCGACUCUCUGGUCUGUAACUGACGCUGAGGAGCGAAAGCGUGGGGAGCGAACAGGAUUAGAUACCCUGGUAGUCCACGCCGUAAACGAWGAGUGSUAAGUGUUAGGGGGUUUCCGCCCCUUAGUGCUGCAGCUAACGCAUAAGGCAACUCCCGC